This 72-nucleotide transfer RNA is filed under the name Stegodyphus mimosarum. It matches the Rfam family "tRNA". Rfam says of the family: Transfer RNA (tRNA) molecules are approximately 80 nucleotides in length. Their secondary structure includes four short double-helical elements and three loops (D, anti-codon, and T loops). Further hydrogen bonds mediate the characteristic L-shaped molecular structure. tRNAs have two regions of fundamental functional importance: the anti-codon, which is responsible for specific mRNA codon recognition, and the 3' end, to which the tRNAs corresponding amino acid is attached (by aminoacyl-tRNA synthetases). tRNAs cope with the degeneracy of the genetic code in two manners: having more than one tRNA (with a specific anti-codon) for a particular amino acid; and 'wobble' base-pairing, i.e. permitting non-standard base-pairing at the 3rd anti-codon position. Lineage: Eukaryota; Metazoa; Arthropoda; Arachnida; Araneae; Eresidae. The record is from Rfam by way of RNAcentral.
GCCUUCGUGGUGUAAUGGUUAGCACACUCGACGCGCAUUCGAGAGGUACAGGUUCGAGCCCCGGCGAGGGCA